This 1415-nucleotide long non-coding RNA is filed under the name Lactuca sativa (garden lettuce). Its description in RNAcentral is "long non-coding RNA (LSAT_LNC005740)". The record is from RNAcentral. Lineage: Eukaryota; Viridiplantae; Streptophyta; Magnoliopsida; Asterales; Asteraceae.
AAAAUUUUGUAGUUUUGGUCCAAAACGAAAUGUUGGUGCACCACCGGUCCAAUUUUAGAUACAUUGUGUGGUUUUGAUCCCUAUUGUUGUAAUUUCUUGUGUUUUUGGUCCACAUCCCACCUAAAAUGACUAAUAUGCCCCUUAAAUAAUUAUACUUUAAUUUCUUUUAAUUAUUUUCUUAUUCUUAUAAUAAAAUAAAAACAAAAUAAACCCACCACAUACACACACACACACGCACACACACACACACUCUCUCUCUCUCUCUCUCUCUCUCUCUUCAUCUGCCAUCACAACAGCCUCAUCUCUCGCACUUCUUUUGUCCAUCGAGCAAACUCUACCAAACCCCCACUUGCCUGCCUUGUUCCACCAGAUCAUUCUUCUGUCCACCUCUCCUUCGAGUUUCAUCGUUGGAUGCCACCUCCGUUCUUAUUUCUUCGAGCGACCCAAGGUCGUCGAUUCUGCUGCUAUGCGUCUCUUAGAUCGAUGCCGAAGACGAGGAAGAAAAACCCACAAAGGGUCACCGGUCUCGAAGAAUCUGCAUAUUUGGAAGAAUUCUUAGCUCAUCAUCGCUUUAUUAAGGAUUCACACACACACACACACACACUUUUUGAAAUCAAUUGAGAAGUAGAAGACAUAUCAGGGGACGAAAUCGAUAUGAAAUUUGUCAGGAUUCAACCACUUUAAACCAGUAAACCCUAAUGGCUCGAUUAAUAGGUGUGUGUGUGUGUGUAUUUUUGAUUGCAGCUCUCAAGGAUCCGAUUUAAGGGUGAUAUCUGGUGGUUCGGGAAAGGGGUGAAGGAAGGUGUUCGAUUGUGGGUGAUUAAGGUGACUGGAGGAAUUUAUGAUUUUGGUUUUGCUUAGAAGAAAUCAAAGAGGGGAAAAUGCGAUCUUGGAAGAAGGAAUGAUUCUGAUGAUGAAUCGCUUUCACAAGUGUGGAAGGUUGUCAAGAACAUAAGGUGUUCGAUGAAUUAACAAAGAGACAAAUAAAGUUAUACCAUUGAAAACGACUCACCUUUGGCUGACCCACACACUCUGUUUCUGUUUCUUCUUCUUCUUCUUCAAAGCCUCACACAACUAUCAGUUCUUUUACUUUUGCUCCUAUAUAAUAUUCAUCACAAUCUUUUCUCCUUCUCUUGCAAAUUAAUGAACAACUUCAAAAUAGAACCAAAUCGAUUAGAAGGGCAGUAUUGAUGGGGAAGUGUUAUCGGGCAUGAGGAAGGAAAGAUGGGGGUGAGGGUGGGAUUGGAUGUUUAUGGUGGACAAUGGUGGCAGUCAAUGGUGAUGGUGGCGAACGGUGGUAGCAAUCGGUGGUGAUGGUGACGACCACUAAUGGUGAUAUGUUCUUUUUUGAGAGUGUGUGUGUGCGUUUUUGUUGAGAGAGAGGGGGAAAGAGAAAUGGUGGGUAGACCUUUUUU